UUCAAAUUUGUCAUCGGUUUUAAAUUAUUAUUAAUUAUUUGAAUAGCUUUUAUUUUAUUGCAACUAAUACGAAAUAGAAUAAUAACAAUUGACAACUUAAUUCUUUCAAAUAAAUCAUUAGUCUUUAUAUUGAAAAUAAAUAAACUGACGACGGUUUAUUGUUGACAAUGAAUGUUUUGUGAUGUUCUUGAAGAAAAAUGAAGGAGAUUUUGGAUUGGACUAAAAAAAUUUCAGAUUUAUUUUGAAUAUAGGAUGGCGAAGGAGAUUUUGGAUUGGACUCAAGAAAUUUCAGAUGUAUUUUGAAUAUAGGAUGGCG
Long non-coding RNA from Argiope bruennichi, 316 nucleotides. RefSeq lists it as uncharacterized. The record is from RefSeq and is a predicted model, not a curated record. The transcript has 3 exons. Lineage: Eukaryota; Metazoa; Arthropoda; Arachnida; Araneae; Araneidae.